Molecule: non-coding RNA, 548 nt
Organism: Pelobates cultripes (western spadefoot toad)
Lineage: Eukaryota; Metazoa; Chordata; Amphibia; Anura; Pelobatidae
Source: the annotation of a GenBank genome assembly
AUGGGAGAUUACCUUUUUACCUAUAAGGGUGUAUUUUUAUGAUUCUAUGCUGUGAAAAAAGUGAAUAUACAAUAUUAUGUUAUUAACCUUUCUGGUCUCAUAUAAGGAGAUUUAAGCUGUGCUGCAUUCCUGUCCGUACUCCCACCUCUGAUACUCUCCUUCAAGACUUCUCGAGGGCUGCACCGUUUCUGUGGAACUCACUUCCCUCCUCCGUUAGAUGCUCACCCAGUCUCCACUCCUUCAAAAAAGUCAUUAAAAACCCACUUCAUAAAAGCGUAUCAAUUAAACUGUUUUAAUAGCUCCUGACUGAUUCCUCUCUUGCAACUGUCAUUAGUCUAAUACUAUCCUUACCUUUUGUGUCCCUUUACCCCACUCCUUCUAGCAUGUAAGCUCAUUGUUCCUGUGUGUCCAACUUGUCUGGUUACAACUACAUGUCUGUUCAUCCACCCACUGUAAAGCGCUGUGGAAUUUGUUGGCGCUAUAUAAAUAAUAACAUCAUAAUUCCUGUUGCAUCUUUAUGUGAACCUUUAUGUGUAGUCUGCUAUAUC